This 986-nucleotide ribosomal RNA is filed under the name human gut metagenome. Its description in RNAcentral is "bacterial LSU rRNA". It matches the Rfam family "Bacterial large subunit ribosomal RNA", at positions 1945 to 2925 of the family's 2925-position model. The record is from RNAcentral.
ACGGUCCUAAGGUAGCGAAAUUCCUUGUCGGGUAAGUUCCGACCUGCACGAAUGGCAUAAUGAUGGCCACACUGUCUCCUCCCGAGACUCAGUGAAGUUGAAAUGUUUGUGAUGAUGCAAUCUCCCCGCGGCUAGACGGAAAGACCCCGUGAACCUUUACUAUAGCUUGACACUGAACACUGGUCCUUGAUGUGUAGGAUAGGUGGGAGGCUUUGAAGCGUGGACGCCAGUCUGCGUGGAGCCGUCCUUGAAAUACCACCCUUUAAUGGCUGGUGUUCUAACGUAGACCCGUGAUCCGGGUUGCGGACAGUGUCUGGUGGGUAGUUUGACUGGGGCGGUCUCCUCCCAAAGAGUAACGGAGGAGCACGAAGGUUAGCUAAUCCUGGUCGGACAUCAGGAGGUUAGUGCAAUGGCAUAAGCUAGCUUGACUGCGAGAGUGACGGCUCGAGCAGGUGCGAAAGCAGGUCAUAGUGAUCCGGUGGUUCUGAAUGGAAGGGCCAUCGCUCAACGGAUAAAAGGUACUCCGGGGAUAACAGGCUGAUACCGCCCAAGAGUUCAUAUCGACGGCGGUGUUUGGCACCUCGAUGUCGGCUCAUCACAUCCUGGGGCUGAAGUAGGUCCCAAGGGUAUGGCUGUUCGCCAUUUAAAGUGGUACGCGAGCUGGGUUCAGAACGUCGUGAGACAGUUCGGUCCCUAUCUGCCGUGGGCGCUGGAGAAUUGAGGGGGGCUGCUCCUAGUACGAGAGGACCGGAGUGGACGCAUCACUGGUGUUCGGGUUGUCAUGCCAAUGGCACUGCCCGGUAGCUAAAUGCGGAAAAGAUAAGUGCUGAAAGCAUCUAAGCACGAAACUUGCCCCGAGAUGAGUUCUCCCUGACUCCUUGAGAGUCCUGAAGGAACGUUGAAGACGACGACGUUGAUAGGUCGGGUGUGUAAGCGCAGCGAUGCGUUGAGCUAACCGAUACUAAUGAACCGUGAGGCUUAACCUU